This 447-nucleotide ribosomal RNA is filed under the name uncultured bacterium. RNAcentral describes it as "bacterial SSU rRNA". It matches the Rfam family "Bacterial small subunit ribosomal RNA", at positions 355 to 825 of the family's 1533-position model. The record is from RNAcentral.
UCGGGAAUUUUGGGCAAUGGGCGAAAGCCUGACCCAGCAACGCCGCGUGAAGGAUGAAGUAUUUCGGUAUGUAAACUUCGAAAGAAUAGGAAGAAUAAAUGACGGUACUAUUUAUAAGGUCCGGCUAACUACGUGCCAGCAGCCGCGGUAAUACGUAGGGACCAAGCGUUGUUCGGAUUUACUGGGCGUAAAGGGCGCGUAGGCGGCUUGACAAGUCACUUGUGAAAUCUCUGGGCUUAACCCAGAACGGUCAACUGAUACUGUCACACUAGAGUACAGAAGGGGCAAUCGGAAUUCUUGGUGUAGCGGUGAAAUGCGUAGAUAUCAAGAGGAACACCUGAGGCGAAGGCGGGUUGCUGGGCUGAUACUGACGCUGAGGCGCGAAAGCUAGGGUAGCAAACGGGAUUAGAUACCCGAGUAGUCCCUGAGCGGGCUGGCAAGGCGCAU